GGCGAACGCUGGCGGCGUGCUUAACACAUGCAAGUCGAACGGAAAGGCCCUGCUUUUGUGGGGAGCUCGAGUGGCGAACGGGUGAGUAACACGUGAGUAACCUGCCCUUGACUUUGGGAUAACUUCAGGAAACUGGGGCUAAUACCGGAUAGGAGCUCCUGCUGCAUGGUGGGGGUUGGAAAGUUUCGGCGGUUGGGGAUGGACUCGCGGCUUAUCAGCUUGUUGGUGGGGUAGUGGCUUACCAAGGCUUUGACGGGUAGCCGGCCUGAGAGGGUGACCGGCCACAUUGGGACUGAGAUACGGCCCAGACUCCUACGGGAGGCAGCAGUGGGGAAUAUUGCACAAUGGGCGGAAGCCUGAUGCAGCAACGCCGCGUGCGGGAUGACGGCCUUCGGGUUGUAAACCGCUUUCGCCUGUGACGAAGCGUGAGUGACGGUAAUGGGUAAAGAAGCACCGGCUAACUACGUG
This 468-nucleotide ribosomal RNA is filed under the name uncultured bacterium. RNAcentral describes it as "partial 16S ribosomal RNA". It matches the Rfam family "Bacterial small subunit ribosomal RNA", at positions 28 to 507 of the family's 1533-position model. The record is from RNAcentral.